Molecule: ribosomal RNA, 513 nt
Filed under: uncultured bacterium
Lineage: Bacteria
Description: bacterial SSU rRNA
Rfam family: Bacterial small subunit ribosomal RNA
Source: RNAcentral
CGAUUCUGGCUCAGACGAACGCUGGCGGCGCGUUUAAGCAUGCAAGUCGAGCGGCAAGGGCCUUCGGGCCCCUAGAGCGGCGGACGGGUGAGUAACACGUGGACAAUCUGCCCCCCGGCCCGGGAUAGCCCAGGGAAACCUGGAUUAAUACCGGAUGAGACGGGACCCGCGAUGGCGGGACCCGGGAAAGGCGCUGCGGCGCCGCCGGGGGAUGAGUCUGCGUCCCAUUAGCUAGACGGCGGGGUAACGGCCCACCGUGGCGACGAUGGGUAGCCGGCCUGAGAGGGUGGACGGCCACAUUGGAACUGAGACACGGUCCAGACUCCUACGGGAGGCAGCAGCUAAGAAUCUUCCGCAAUGGGCGAAAGCCUGACGGAAGCGACGCCGCGUGAACGAAGAAGGCCGUGAGGUUGUAAAGUUCUUUUCGGGAGGGGGAACAACCGUGGCAGGGAAUGGCCGCGGGAUGACGUGAAUCCCGGAAUAAGCCCCGGCUAACUACGUGCCAGCCGCCGC